Molecule: long non-coding RNA, 310 nt
Filed under: Dermacentor andersoni
Lineage: Eukaryota; Metazoa; Arthropoda; Arachnida; Ixodida; Ixodidae
Description: uncharacterized LOC126521881
Source: RNAcentral
GCUCCUCUCCUCAGGGCCGCUGCACGAUAACGCCUAAGACGUAAGCUAUUAUUUUCCGUGCUGUUGUCAGGUAUUUCUUGGACAAAGAUGAACUGCAGGCGGCAGAUUUCCGUUUUUGUAGCCUUGGCUGUCGGACUACAUAUUGUCGUGGUUACGAAUGGUACCAAAAGUGAUGUUUAUGUCAGAACAAUGAAUGGUUCUUGUGCUUACCAUAACUUGACCGUACAAGAUAAAAAACACGUGACAAUGGAAUGGCCUUGCGCAAGAGUUUAUUGUAAUGUUACAGGUGGCAUGGUUACAGUGUAUGGGU